RNAcentral lists this unclassified non-coding RNA (1732 nucleotides) under Hevea brasiliensis (rubber tree). The record is from RNAcentral. Lineage: Eukaryota; Viridiplantae; Streptophyta; Magnoliopsida; Malpighiales; Euphorbiaceae.
CUUCACUUCAUUUCUCUUCCUCACUCGCUUCCUCGCCCGCUAUCUCUAGCCGUCGCGUGUUGUCUGCUUCUCCUGCUUGCGGAAGAACGUUACUUUGGUCAGAUCUGAAAUUGGAGCCACUAGUUUUUCCGUUGAGCCAUGGCUCUAGUUAUUCAUGCCGGGAAGACCAAUAAAAAUGCUUUCAAGACACUGAUUGCAGCAGAGUACUCUGGUGUGAAAGUUGAACUGGUUAAGAAUUUUGAGAUUGGUGCAAAUAACACUCCUGAAUUCCUCAAGAUGAAUCCUAUUGGGAAGGUUCCUGUGUUGGAGACACCAGAUGGGCCUGUAUUUGAGAGCAAUGCUAUGGCCCGUUAUGUUACCCGCUUGAAGGCUGACAAUCCUCUGUAUGGUUCAUCCCUGAUUGAUUAUGCCCGCAUUGAGCAGUGGAUUGAUUUUGCAUCAUUAGAGAUUGAUGCCAAUCUUUUGGCUUGGCUCAGACCUAGAAUGGGAUUUGCCCAAUAUCUUCCGCCGGCCGAGGAAGCUGCAAUUUCUGCAUUGAAAAGAGGUUUAGGCGCUUUGAAUACUUAUCUUGCCUCAAACACCUACUUGGUUGGGCAUGCUGUGACUUUGGCUGACAUUGUUACUACAUGCAAUCUCUAUCUGGGGUUUGCUCGCCUCAUGACUAAGAGCUUUACUUCAGAGUUUCCUCAUGUUGAGAGAUACUUCUGGACUAUGGUCAAUCAACCUAAUUUCAAAAAGAUAUUGGGUGAAGUCAAGCAGACUGAAUCGGUUCUUCCUAUCCAGUCAACAAAGAAGCCUGCCCCUCCCAAAGAAUCUGCUAAACCAAAACCUAAGGAUGAACCAAAGAAAGAAACCAAAAAGGAGAAAGAGCCGACAAAGCCCAAAGAAGCUGCUGAGGAAGAGGAAGAUGCUCCAAAGCCCAAACCCAAGAAUCCUCUUGAUUUGCUGCCUCCAAGUAAGAUGAUAUUGGAUGAGUGGAAGAGACUCUACUCAAACACCAAGAGCAACUUCCGUGAGGUUGCAAUUAAAGGAUUCUGGGACAUGUAUGAUCCUGAGGGAUACUCCCUGUGGUUCUGUGACUACAAGUACAAUGAGGAGAACAGUGUGUCAUUUGUUACUCUGAACAAGGUCAGUGGAUUUCUUCAACGGAUGGAUCUGGCUCGCAAGUAUGCAUUUGGAAAGAUGCUAGUGAUUGGCGAAAACCCUCCAUACAAGGUUAAGGGGCUGUGGCUUUUCCGAGGCCAAGAAAUUCCUCAAUUUGUCAUCGAUGAGUGCUAUGACAUGGAACUGUACGACUGGAAGAAGGUUGACCUCUCAGAUGAAGCCCAAAAGGAGCGAGUCAACCAGAUGAUUGAAGAUCAAGAGCCUUUCGAGGGAGAGCCUCUUUUGGAUGCCAAGUGCUUUAAGUGAAGUAACCGUUUAUCAUUUAACUUAUGUUUUAGCCUGCAUCCGUAAAUUUUUUUCAAAAUUUUUUUUGAUAGUGAUUUUGUAUCUCUUGUUUCAGACAAAUUUAAGUGUAGCUUUUUGUGAUUUUACAUGGUAUAACUAUGCUCUUGGGUGUCUAAUGUCCUCGUGAACGUACUUCUCAAUCGGUAUCUGGUGCAUUUUGAUUAUGAGAGUAAUUUUAUUAUUAACAGUGUCUCGUCAUGUUUGUAUGUUUUGUAAUGCAAGACAAAUGAGCAUCGGCUAAUUAUGAUGUCAAAAGCACCCUGGAGAAAAUUGACAAUUGUGU